Non-coding RNA from Dallia pectoralis (Alaska blackfish), 74 nucleotides. Lineage: Eukaryota; Metazoa; Chordata; Actinopteri; Esociformes; Umbridae. The record is from the annotation of a GenBank genome assembly.
UGAGGCAUAGGACGAGUUGGUAGAGUGCAUGCUUUGUAUUUAUGAUGUCCUGGGUUCAAUCCCCAGCUUCUCCC